Molecule: microRNA precursor, 153 nt
Filed under: Lotus japonicus
Lineage: Eukaryota; Viridiplantae; Streptophyta; Magnoliopsida; Fabales; Fabaceae
Description: miR11166 stem-loop (lja-MIR11166)
Source: miRBase by way of RNAcentral
AGAUCCAUUGUUACGGUCCUCUUUGCUAUCUGUAUAAUGGCAAAUAUAGUAGCUGUGGUUUGAGAAAGUAGGCCAGAAGGCCGAAUAACUCGCCUUGUGAACUAUUUGAUCAUUGUAUGGAUAGUAGAGGGGCUCCCGAGUCCAGUGGUAUCU